CCCUUAGAGUUUGAUCCUGGCUCAGAAUCAACGCUGGCGGCGUGCCUAACACAUGCAAGUCGAACGCGAAAGCCUCGCAAGGGGCAAGUAGAGUGGCAAACGGGUGAGUAACACGUGGGUGACCUGCCUUCGAGUGGGGGAUAACGUCCCGAAAGGGACGCUAAUACCGCAUAACAUGCUGUUGUUGAACAGAUGGACAUCAAAGCUGGGGACCGCAAGGCCUGGCGCUUGAAGAGGGGCCCGCGCCUGAUUAGCUAGUUGGUGGGGUAAUGGCUCACCAAGGCUUCGAUCAGUAUCCGGCCUGAGAGGGCGGACGGACACACUGGGACUGAGACACGGCCCAGACUCCUACGGGAGGCAGCAGUGGGGAAUUGUUCGCAAUGGGCGCAAGCCUGACGACGCAACGCCGCGUGGAGGAUGAAGACCUUCGGGUCGUAAACUCCUUUCGAUCGAGACGAAUGGUCUCUGGGUGAACAGCCCGGGGAAGUGACGGUACCGAGAGAAGAAGCCCCGGCUAA
This 518-nucleotide ribosomal RNA is filed under the name uncultured bacterium. RNAcentral's name for it is "bacterial SSU rRNA". It matches the Rfam family "Bacterial small subunit ribosomal RNA", at positions 1 to 500 of the family's 1533-position model. The record is from RNAcentral.